UACGGAGGGGGCUAGCGUUGUUCGGAAUUACUGGGCGUAAAGCGCACGUAGGCGGAUUGGUAAGUCGGGGGUGAAAUCCCGGGGCUCAACCCCGGAACUGCCUCCGAUACUGCCAGUCUUGAGGCCGGAAGAGGUGAGUGGAAUUGCUAGUGUAGAGGUGAAAUUCGUAGAUAUUAGGAAGAACACCAGUGGCGAAGGCGGCUCACUGGUCCGGUUCUGACGCUGAGGUGCGAAAGCGUGGGGAGCAAACAGG
Molecule: ribosomal RNA, 253 nt
Filed under: uncultured bacterium
Lineage: Bacteria
Description: partial 16S ribosomal RNA
Rfam family: Bacterial small subunit ribosomal RNA
Source: RNAcentral